GUGGUUGGAAGUAAUCCCCCACCAUAAUCUAACUACAGUGGUUUGUCUGCAUUAUCAUUCAGGCUACUACAAACACACACACACAUCACUAUUAUCACUGAUAGUCAAAGACAGCAAAGAUUUUUGUUUGUUGGUUUUAAUGACAUUUUACAAUCAGAGUUUCCAACAGUAAGUAAUGGGACCCCUCAGAGGAAUGAGGUACUACGUGGCUACACCGCCACCUGGGCGCUCUUUGACAGUGCCUUCAGGUCCAAAAUGCACUUUGCAAUGCUCUCCUUCUGCUGCUGAGGUGUGAUGCUCUGAAUAACACUCUUCUCCACCCACUGAACCAUGUGAUCUUGCUCUUUCUGACGCUUUAAGUUCUGCAGAGCUACUUGAUAGUCCAGCCUUUUCUUUACUUCAUUGUACACUGUCAGUAAUCUUUCUCGGUAAUUAGCUUCCAGCAACAUUGCAAUAUUAUUCCUCUUAGCAUCAAAAAGGUAACUGCGGCCUUCAAUUCUCCACUGCUCCUUUUUCUCCUCCUCAAUGGCAGUCUCCAAUGCUUUAAUUGCUUCAUUUUUCACCUCUAAAGCUUUAGCAAUUUUCUCCUCAUUAAGUUUGUCAGCAAAAGCUGCUACGUCAGCACCAUACUUUUUAACAGCAUAAAUGAUGACUGUCAAUAUGCAGGCAGCUGCAACUGUCUCAUGGUUAACGACAUAGAUUUCCUUAGAGAGUAAGUAGAGCAGGAGUCCAGUUCCCAACAUGUAAGGCCCUGUGACGCCGGUUUUGGGAUAGAGAAACUGGAAGAACUCCUCAGGGAUCAGGCCGUGCCGGACCUCUCCUCCCUUCUCUGGCAGAGGUGGCACAGGAGCCAAGCGGUGCUGGCCGGUGUGAAGCGGCCUCGCGACGUGCAAAAUGCCCGCCGAGACGGGAGGCGGCAGGCCCUGCAGGCCCUUCAGCACGGCCGGGGCGGCGCGGAGGACGAGGCGGGACAGCAUGGCGGCAGAGCGUCCGUUCGUCCCGGUGACCGCCGGCCGCCUCCGCAGCACCGAGAUGGCGGCUGGG
Molecule: long non-coding RNA, 1044 nt
Filed under: Gallus gallus (chicken)
Lineage: Eukaryota; Metazoa; Chordata; Aves; Galliformes; Phasianidae
Source: RNAcentral